UGGGGAAUAUUGCACAAUGGGCGAAAGCCUGAUGCAGCAACGCCGCGUGAGUGAUGAAGGUCUUCGGAUUGUAAAGCUCUGUCUUUUGGGACGAUAAUGACGGUACCAAAGGAGGAAGCCACGGCUAACUACGUGCCAGCAGCCGCGGUAAUACGUAGGUGGCGAGCGUUGUCCGGAUUUACUGGGCGUAAAGGGUGCGUAGGCGGAUGUUUAAGUGAGAUGUGAAAUACCCGGGCUUAACUUGGGUGCUGCAUUUCAAACUGGAUAUCUAGAGUGCAGGAGAGGAGAAUGGAAUUCCUAGUGUAGCGGUGAAAUGCGUAGAGAUUAGGAAGAACACCAGUGGCGAAGGCGAUUCUCUGGACUGUAACUGACGCUGAGGCACGAAAGCGUGGGUAGCAAACAGGAUUAGAUACCCUGGUAGUCCACGCCGUAAACGAUGAGUACUAGGUGUAGGAGGUAUCGACCCCUUCUGUGCCGCAGUAAACACAUUAAGUACUCCGCCCGGGAAGUACGAUCGCAAGAUUAAAAC
RNAcentral lists this ribosomal RNA (529 nucleotides) under uncultured bacterium. Its description in RNAcentral is "partial 16S ribosomal RNA". It matches the Rfam family "Bacterial small subunit ribosomal RNA", at positions 355 to 900 of the family's 1533-position model. The record is from RNAcentral.